Molecule: small RNA, 37 nt
Filed under: Arabidopsis thaliana (thale cress)
Lineage: Eukaryota; Viridiplantae; Streptophyta; Magnoliopsida; Brassicales; Brassicaceae
Description: ATSL012380
Source: RNAcentral
UUUUGUUCAUUUUUUUUCUUCUUCUUUUUGUCGUUUU